UACGAAGGGGGCUAGCGUUGCUCGGAAUCACUGGGCGUAAAGGGUGCGUAGGCGGGUUUUUAAGUCAGGGGUGAAAUCCUGGAGCUCAACUCCAGAACUGCCUUUGAUACUGAGAAUCUUGAGUACGGGAGAGGUGAGUGGAACUGCGAGUGUAGAGGUGAAAUUCGUAGAUAUUCGCAAGAACACCAGUGGCGAAGGCGGCUCACUGGCCCGUAACUGACGCUGAGGCACGAAAGUGUGGGGAUCAAACAGG
This 253-nucleotide ribosomal RNA is filed under the name uncultured bacterium. RNAcentral describes it as "partial 16S ribosomal RNA". It matches the Rfam family "Bacterial small subunit ribosomal RNA", at positions 524 to 776 of the family's 1533-position model. The record is from RNAcentral.